UACGUAGGGGGCGAGCGUUGUCCGGAGUUACUGGGCGUAAAGCGCACGCAGGCGGUCUGCUAAGUUUGGAGUGACAGUUGGUGGCUUAACUGCCAAAGUGCUUCGAAAACUGACAGACUUGAGGGCUUCAGAGGGACACGGAAUUCCGGGUGGAGUGGUGAAAUGCGUAGAGAUCCGGAGGAACACCAAAGGCGAAGGCAGUGUCCUGGGGAGUACCUGACGCUCAGGUGCGACAGCGUGGGGAGCAAACAGG
This 253-nucleotide ribosomal RNA is filed under the name uncultured bacterium. Its description in RNAcentral is "partial 16S ribosomal RNA". It matches the Rfam family "Bacterial small subunit ribosomal RNA", at positions 524 to 776 of the family's 1533-position model. The record is from RNAcentral.